RNAcentral lists this ribosomal RNA (253 nucleotides) under uncultured bacterium. Its description in RNAcentral is "partial 16S ribosomal RNA". It matches the Rfam family "Bacterial small subunit ribosomal RNA", at positions 524 to 776 of the family's 1533-position model. The record is from RNAcentral.
UACGUAGGGACCUAGCGUUGUCCGGAAUCAUUGGGCGUAAAGCGCGCGUAGGCGGCCCGGUAAGUCCGUUGUAAAAGUCGAAGGCUCAACCUUCGAAAGCCGAUGGAUACUGCCGGGCUAGAGUCCGGAAGAGGCGAGUAGAAUUCCUGGUGUAGCGGUGGAAUGCGCAGAUAUCAGGAAGAACACCCGUGGCGAAGGCGGCUCUCUGGGACGGUACUGACGCUGAGACGCGAAAGCGUGGGGAGCGAACAGG